Platichthys flesus (European flounder) is the source of this 1050-nucleotide long non-coding RNA. RefSeq lists it as uncharacterized. Lineage: Eukaryota; Metazoa; Chordata; Actinopteri; Pleuronectiformes; Pleuronectidae. The record is from RefSeq and is a predicted model, not a curated record. The transcript has 4 exons.
AUCCGGACCUUUAACUCGGGGCUGCGUAAUAACCACAGAGCGCUUGGAAGACAAACAAUGUCAUCUUCCUUCUGUCAGGAGGAUCCAAGUGAAGCUACAGGAGUUUCAUUAACGUCAAUAACUUGGACCGAACACUUUGUUUUGCUUGAUGAAGAGCAGGAAGGGCAGCCUGGAGAGAAAGAGAAGCCGGGUUGAGCCCACUACCAUCAUCCACGUACCACGAGGAAGAUGAGGGAGAGAAAUUAUCCUACCAUUAAAGAGACUGUGAAAAGAACGUUGCGAACAUCACCACUCUACAGGAAGACACAGUCCAGUAAUGGGUGUCAGAAGUUCAGUAGUGAACGACAGAAACAAACAAUCCAAAUUACCUGCAGAACGCCCUUGAUGGACGCUUCAGGAGCAUUGUCAGACUGGCCAGACAGCAAGAUGCCAACUUUAAUGCCAAUUUAUUUGUGUAACAUUCUGUGACCAAAUGUAUAGAUAACUUUUUGUAGAUUGUAAAAAAAGAUAACGCAUUUAUUAAAAAAAAACUACACUAGAAUUACCGCACUGCGUUGUAUGACUCCGCUAACCAGUGCAGUGUCCGUCUACAUAUUUCUACAUAUUUUCUCUGGUAUAAAUGACACUGUGUCUCUUGACAACUGAAACCAUAAGAUGAGGUCAGUGUGGCCUUGACCUUUUGACUUUAACACAAAUACACAGUUAGACAAUCCAAAAACAUGCAGUUAUUAGUGUAGUAGAUUGGACCGAUACAUCAUCGCUCUUUUCUGAAACUAAUGAAGGCAAAUUCACACAUAUAGACAGAAAUAAUCAGUAUAAAUUAAAAGGUGUAAAGAUUGCUUACAUUAUGUUUGAUGGGGGUCAUCAUUAUACAUAACAGAGGAAAACUUUGCAAAUGUAUUCCUUAAAUUGACUUGCCUUCCUGUGGAAAAAGUUGUUUUCCCAGUUAAACAAUCACAGCAGGGAAGCAUGAUUGAUCAAAAUUCUUUCAGUGUGAUAUUAACUUGUAUGUCAGCAAGCGUACUUUGGGGAUUUAAUAAAAAUGUAUAG